CAAUCCAUGAGUAAAGUGGCGCACGGGUGAGUAACACGUGACUAACCUACCCUUGAGUGGGGGAUAACCUAGAGAAAUCUGGGCUAAUACCGCAUAAUACCUUCGGGUCAAAGGAGCAAUUCGCUUAAGGAGGGGGUCGCGGCCGAUUAGUUAGUUGGCGGGGUAAUGGCCCACCAAGACUGUGAUCGGUAUCCGGCCUGAGAGGGCGCACGGCCACACUGGAACUGAAACACGGUCCAG
Molecule: ribosomal RNA, 240 nt
Filed under: uncultured bacterium
Lineage: Bacteria
Description: partial 16S ribosomal RNA
Rfam family: Bacterial small subunit ribosomal RNA
Source: RNAcentral